UGGAUCUGACCAAUCAAUUAGUAAAACCUGGCUCCAACUAGGUCCUCCAAAAUAUGAGCUCAAGCUCCGGCUCCAACUACGACUCCAGCCAAUCGAUUGUAGACACCCCAGCUUUGACUGGGACCUCCAAAUCCCGACUUUAAGGAUAAUCGACUAGAGACUCUUGGCUCUAGUCAAGGCCUCCAAAAUAUGAGCUUGGAAGUAUAUCGACCUCAAAUAUGAGCGU
RNAcentral lists this long non-coding RNA (226 nucleotides) under Elaeis guineensis (African oil palm). RNAcentral's name for it is "long non-coding RNA (EGUI_LNC034621)". The record is from RNAcentral. Lineage: Eukaryota; Viridiplantae; Streptophyta; Magnoliopsida; Arecales; Arecaceae.